RNAcentral lists this ribosomal RNA (2207 nucleotides) under Listeria monocytogenes. Its description in RNAcentral is "partial 23S ribosomal RNA". It matches the Rfam family "Bacterial large subunit ribosomal RNA", at positions 725 to 2925 of the family's 2925-position model. Lineage: Bacteria; Bacillati; Bacillota; Bacilli; Caryophanales; Listeriaceae. The record is from RNAcentral.
GUGAUCUACCCAUGUCCAGGAUGAAGGUAAGGUAAUACUUACUGGAGGUCCGAACCCACGCACGUUGAAAAGUGCGGGGAUGAGGUGUGGGUAGCGGAGAAAUUCCAAUCGAACUUGGAGAUAGCUGGUUCUCUCCGAAAUAGCUUUAGGGCUAGCCUCGAGGUAAAGAGUCAUGGAGGUAGAGCACUGUUUGGACUAGGGGCCCUUCUCGGGUUACCGAAUUCAGAUAAACUCCGAAUGCCAUGUACUUAUACUCGGGAGUCAGACUGCGAGUGAUAAGAUCCGUAGUCGAAAGGGAAACAGCCCAGACCACCAGUUAAGGUCCCCAAAUAUAUGUUAAGUGGAAAAGGAUGUGGGGUUGCUUAGACAACCAGGAUGUUGGCUUAGAAGCAGCCACCAUUGAAAGAGUGCGUAAUAGCUCACUGGUCGAGUGACCCCGCGCCGAAAAUGUACCGGGGCUAAACAUAUUACCGAAACUGUGGAUGAACCUCUUUAGAGGUUCGUGGUAGGAGAGCGUUCUAAGGGCGGUGAAGUCAGACCGGAAGGACUGGUGGAGCGCUUAGAAGUGAGAAUGCCGGUAUGAGUAGCGAAAGAAGGGUGAGAAUCCCUUCCACCGAAUAUCUAAGGUUUCCUGAGGAAGGCUCGUCCGCUCAGGGUUAGUCGGGACCUAAGCCGAGGCCGAUAGGCGUAGGCGAUGGACAACAGGUAGAGAUUCCUGUACCAGUGCUAAUUGUUUAACCGAUGGGGUGACACAGAAGGAUAGGGAAUCGCACGAAUGGAAAUGUGCGUCCAAGCAGUGAGUGUGAGAAGUAGGCAAAUCCGCUUCUCGCGAAGCAUGAGCUGUGAUGGGGAAGGAAAUUAAGUACGGAAGUUCCUGAUUUCACGCUGUCAAGAAAAGCCUCUAGGAAGAGUAGUACUGCCCGUACCGCAAACCGACACAGGUAGAUGAGGAGAGAAUCCUAAGGUGAGCGAGAGAACUCUCGUUAAGGAACUCGGCAAAAUGACCCCGUAACUUCGGGAGAAGGGGUGCUCUAUUAGGGUGCAAGCCCGAGAGAGCCGCAGUGAAUAGGCCCAGGCGACUGUUUAGCAAAAACACAGGUCUCUGCAAAACCGUAAGGUGACGUAUAGGGGCUGACGCCUGCCCGGUGCUGGAAGGUUAAGAGGAGUGCUUAGCUUCGGCGAAGGUACGAAUUGAAGCCCCAGUAAACGGCGGCCGUAACUAUAACGGUCCUAAGGUAGCGAAAUUCCUUGUCGGGUAAGUUCCGACCCGCACGAAAGGCGCAACGAUCUGGGCACUGUCUCAACGAGAGACUCGGUGAAAUUAUAGUACCUGUGAAGAUGCAGGUUACCCGCGACAGGACGGAAAGACCCCGUGGAGCUUUACUGCAACCUGAUAUGGAAUGUUUGUACCGCUUGUACAGGAUAGGUAGGAGCCGAAGAGACGUGUGCGCUAGCAUACGAGGAGGCAAUGGUGGGAUACUACCCUGGCUGUAUGACCAUUCUAACCCGCCACGCUUAGCGCGUGGGGAGACAGUGUCAGGUGGGCAGUUUGACUGGGGCGGUCGCCUCCUAAAGAGUAACGGAGGCGCCCAAAGGUUCCCUCAGAAUGGAUGGAAAUCAUUCGCAGAGUGUAAAGGCACAAGGGAGCUUGACUGCGAGACUGACAAGUCGAGCAGGGACGAAAGUCGGGCUUAGUGAUCCGGUGGUUCCGCAUGGAAGGGCCAUCGCUCAACGGAUAAAAGCUACCCCGGGGAUAACAGGCUUAUCUCCCCCAAGAGUCCACAUCGACGGGGAGGUUUGGCACCUCGAUGUCGGCUCGUCGCAUCCUGGGGCUGUAGUCGGUCCCAAGGGUUGGGCUGUUCGCCCAUUAAAGCGGCACGCGAGCUGGGUUCAGAACGUCGUGAGACAGUUCGGUCCCUAUCCGUCGCGGGCGCAGGAAAUUUGAGAGGAGCUGUCCUUAGUACGAGAGGACCGGGAUGGACACACCGCUGGUGUACCAGUUGUUCCGCCAGGAGCAUCGCUGGGUAGCUAUGUGUGGCAGGGAUAAACGCUGAAAGCAUCUAAGCGUGAAGCCCCCCUCAAGAUGAGAUUUCCCAUUUCUUCGGAAAGUAAGAUCCCUGAAAGAUGAUCAGGUAGAUAGGUUUGGAGUGGAAGUGUAGCGAUACAUGGAGCGGACAAAUACUAAUCGAUCGAGGACUUAACCAAAA